This 253-nucleotide ribosomal RNA is filed under the name uncultured bacterium. RNAcentral's name for it is "partial 16S ribosomal RNA". It matches the Rfam family "Bacterial small subunit ribosomal RNA", at positions 524 to 776 of the family's 1533-position model. The record is from RNAcentral.
UACGUCGGUGGCGAGCGUUGUCCGGAUUUACUGGGCGUACAGGGCUUGUAGGCGGUCCGUUAAGUCCGAUGUGAAAUCUCCCGGCUCACCUGGGAGAGGUCAUUGGAUACUGGCGGACUAGAGGGGGGUAGAGGAGAGCAGAAUUCCUGGUGUAGCGGUGAAAUGCGUAGAUAUCAGGAGGAAUACCAGUGGCGAAGGCGGCUUUCUGGGCCUACCCUGACGCUGAGGAGCGAAAGCGUGGGGAGCAAACCGG